UGGGGAAUAUUGCACAAUGGGCGCAAGCCUGAUGCAGCCAUGCCGCGUGUAUGAAGAAGGCCUUCGGGUUGUAAAGUACUUUCAGCGGGGAGGAAGGGAGUAAAGUUAAUACCUUUGCUCAUUGACGUUACCCGCAGAAGAAGCACCGGCUAACUCCGUGCCAGCAGCCGCGGUAAUACGGAGGGUGCAAGCGUUAAUCGGAAUUACUGGGCGUAAAGCGCACGCAGGCGGUCUGUCAAGUCGGAUGUGAAAUCCCCGGGCUCAACCUGGGAACUGCAUUCGAAACUGGCAGGCUAGAGUCUUGUAGAGGGGGGUAGAAUUCCAGGUGUAGCGGUGAAAUGCGUAGAGGUCUGGAGGAAUACCGGUGGCGAAGGCGGCCCCCUGGACAAAGACUGACGCUCAGGUGCGAAAGCGUGGGGAGCAAACAGG
This 429-nucleotide ribosomal RNA is filed under the name Chloroflexota bacterium. Its description in RNAcentral is "Chloroflexi bacterium partial 16S ribosomal RNA". It matches the Rfam family "Bacterial small subunit ribosomal RNA", at positions 355 to 776 of the family's 1533-position model. Lineage: Bacteria; Bacillati; Chloroflexota. The record is from RNAcentral.